RNAcentral lists this non-coding RNA (24 nucleotides) under Rattus norvegicus (Norway rat). The record is from RNAcentral. Lineage: Eukaryota; Metazoa; Chordata; Mammalia; Rodentia; Muridae.
UGAAUGUGGAGGGCGUUUCCCAUC